AUUGAACGCUGGCGGCAUGCUUUACGCAUGCAAGUCGAACGGCAGCGCGGGGCAACCUGGCGGCGAGUGGCGAACGGGUGAGUAAUAUAUCGGAACGUACCCUGGAGUGGGGGAUAACGUAGCGAAAGUUACGCUAAUACCGCAUACGAUCUAAGGAUGAAAGUGGGGGAUCGCAAGACCUCAUGCUCCUGGAGCGGCCGAUAUCUGAUGAGCUAGUUGGUAGGGUAAAAGCCUACCAAGGCAUCGAUCAGUAGCUGGUCUGAGAGGACGACCAGCCACACUGGAACUGAGACACGGUCCAGACUCCUACGGGAGGCAGCAGUGGGGAAUUUUGGACAAUGGGCGCAAGCCUGAUCCAGCAAUGCCGCGUGAGUGAAGAAGGCCUUCGGGUUGUAAAGCUCUUUUGUCAGGGAAGAAACGGGUCUUUCUAAUACAGAGGCCUAAUGACGGUACCUGAAGAAUAAGCACCGGCUAACUACGUGCCAGCAGCCGCGGUAAUACGUAGGGUGCAAGCGUUAAUCGGAAUUACUGGGCGUAAAGCGUGCGCAGGCGGUUUUGUAAGUCUGUCGUGAAAUCCCCGGGCUCAACCUGGGAAUGGCGAUGGAGACUGCAA
Molecule: ribosomal RNA, 613 nt
Filed under: uncultured bacterium
Lineage: Bacteria
Description: bacterial SSU rRNA
Rfam family: Bacterial small subunit ribosomal RNA
Source: RNAcentral